RNA transcript from Scylla paramamosain (green mud crab), 4568 nucleotides. RefSeq lists it as uncharacterized. The transcript has 3 exons. NCBI's taxonomy places the organism in Eukaryota, Metazoa, Arthropoda, Malacostraca, Decapoda, Portunidae. The record is from RefSeq and is a predicted model, not a curated record.
AGCCGCUGUCCCGCAAUGCUUCCAUUGGUCGAGGUGCGAGUCGCGGCUGUCCUGCCCGGCCUGGUAGUUGAGAGCGGCCAGCAGGCGGCAGAGAUGCAGUGGCUGGCCGCGGUGAGGAUCGAGGUGUGGCACUGGUACAGGCCCCGGCGCUCCUACAUCGGCGUGGUCCUCAGGCGAUAUCUAAGCAGGGUGCCGUUCCACGCCUCAGGGACCACCAAGCUGCGGCCCGUGUUCUUCAAUCCCUGUCUGGUGUAUCGCAAAAAUGACGUCCUCGUUCAACCUCACGAUGACGGUUGGGAUUCCGGCCUGGAGGGACGCACCGUCCACCUCCCACACUUCGUCCCCAGACCGGAGCUCGGAGAUCUGGUUUGCUGUGUCUCUGUUUACAUUCUUCGCAGCGGCCGCUGCCACAUUCUUGUUAUGCCACUAUCGUGUCAGGGACUGGGUGUUGCCGCGGGUGUUCCGGGCGUGGUGGCGCCUGCAUGCUCGCUUCCCGUGGUUGGUGCCGCGAUUACCUCGCCGAUACAUCAGGGCUAUGGCCAACUGGCUUAACCGCGACACACAGCGGGACAACCAUAACCGCGGUGCCAACGGCCAUGCGUGGCCCAACGAUGACGUGCCCCUGGACCACAGGAACAGGUAGAGGGGCGCCGCGCCGCCACGCCACACUUCAGGAGUCGGGGCAGAGCGAGCUGUAUUUUUUGUUCAGUUCGCUUUUUACUAACAAUAUUGAAGCUGAUGAUUGCUGACCGUCAGCCGCCGAAGAGCAAUCUUUUUAUCAUGCAUCAGUUGUUCUGGUUAACUUUAAAAUAUUUUUGCUGUCGUGCUUUUUUUUCCUUGUUUUCUGAGCGUUGAGCACGACAGGUACCGGAGAGAUUUGCAAUAAAAAAACAUUUUUUUUUAAUGCAAGCGCCUUAGUGCAUGCCACUCAGUACGAGGAAGUGUGCACCUGUCUGAACUUGAUGAAUGUCUGAUACAAAGCGUCGAGACGAGAAGCCGUGAACAAGCUACCCCACCCUCCCUCCCUAACUACACCCCCCCAACACACACACACACACGGGUCAGUGUACACACGUAGACACACAAAUAAGUCCCGCCGGGGACUUAUUUGAAAAUGGGUGUUCGCGCGCCUGAACGUGGCGUGCCGCGUGAGUAGAGGCGUGGAAGUCAACACAAUCUGCGGCUGAUACUGAGACCUUGGGACGCGGCGCUGCUUAUCGCUCACGUGGGGGAGAUAGUCUGGCCGUGCUGGUGAAUUACCUGCUGUGUACUGCCCUGCUCCUGCCCACACCCCGCACCCCAUGGCCGAUCUACCUCACGCCCACAACCCGCUCACUAUCCAACCCUUCCUUCCUGACCCACCCUCCCCACACAACGACCCAUCUUCCUGUCUCCACCCCAUACCUAACCCACCUCUCAAUCCACACGUGUAUUGUCCACACCCCAUACCUCACUCUCGCCUAACCCCAUCCACCAGCCCACACCUCCCAUGCAUGUCUCCCUCUCUACCCCACAGUUCAGUACAAUGCACUUAAUACGAGUCAUAACAUUUGAUACCAUCGAUAAAGGUGAUAUCAUCGCUGAAUCAAGUUGUAAACACAUGAAGUAGGUCUGUGACGUCCGUGCGUAGGUGUGUGUAUGGCUGGGAGGCGGCGGUGGCUGACCCUGGGUGAGGUCACUGAGGGGCGGGGUGAGUGAGGUCAUUUGGGAAAGAGAGAGGGGGAGUGUCAGGGUUAGAGAGGCGUCAGUGGUGGUGGUAACAGGACGGUCACAGGAAGGUUAUUCGUAAUAUCAGAGAGAGAGAGAGAGAAAGGUAUUAAACCUUGCCUUUCACCACAAUCUUGCUCUAUCUAGUGAAGGCGAACGUUUGUGGCUGGUGUAAUAUUUUCGUCCUUGUCCCGCGCCGCACUGCCCGCCAACCAGCCAGCCAGCCGUCCCCCGCCCCACACCCCACACCCAGAAAAGCGCCACAUUCACACAACUCAGCCAACCGCUCACUCGCUCAGUCACCACCGAGAUAUUCAAGAGUGAGGACGUGACUAGCAGAUUCCCUCGCCAUCCAUGUGAGAAACGUUUAAAUAUCUGCUAACCUUUACAAGUCACUUCUGCUGGACAAACUAGUCACCAGUGUGUGUUGUGAAGCAGUGAGCCAGGCCGUGAGGAUGUAGUGUAUAGAGUAAUGCUGAAAAGAGGGAAGCGUUCGCGUGUAUGGGUGAUCUUGUGACCUACCGUAAUGGACGUGCAUAAAGCAGGAAGCUGACACGCGAGGGAGUGGCGGCUGUAGCAGUGAGGGAAAGACUUGCCCAUCUCACAAACCAAGCAAAGACAAAGAAAGUGGUUGUUGUACCGGAGUGAGGAAGCAAACCAUCUUAAACCAAGCAAGCAAAGGAUAAAGUAACGAUUGCAGCAGGAAGAGAGGAAACUGCCCCCACACGCAAAGCAAGGACAGUGGUGGUCGUAGCAGAGGGAAAGCAAACCACGCAAAGGAAGAAAGGAAGACAAAGAACAGUAAGACAGCAAACUUAACACACAAACCAAGCUAUGAAAGGACAAAGUAACCAAUACAACAAGAAUAAAGCAAACAAAUUAAAAAGGAUAAAGGAAGUCACGGUUACAGGGUGAGACAGCAAGCCAUAGCGCACAACCCAAGCAAGACAAAGAAAGCAAAGGUUAUAUAUAGACACCAAGCUACCAGUUCGCGUCUUGGCAAACUGAAGACCAAGCACGAGACGAGGGAAACGGUAACGGCGGAGGAGAAAGCAAUCAAUAACCUUACCCGCACAAGCACCGCCGCCACCACCACCGCCGCCACCACCACCACCAGAUCUCACCGCCAUGCAUCUUGCUGAACAAGAACCAAGGGGACUGAACAGAACACACACAGUUAAUCUAAUGACAAAGUGAACUCAAUAAUAACUAGGAAAGUGACGAGCAAACUCACUAAAACACAAUACGGGAAAAAGUGAAUCUAGUGACACGUUGAACAGAAAAAAAGUAACAAACAAAACAAAAUCAUAAAUCUAUAACUCGAAUGGGAAAGUGAAUCUUGAAACAAAGUAAAACCGAAAAAAAAACUUUCAAGCAAGCAAACAAGAACAAUCCGCAUCCACGCCAUCUCAGGACAUAAACAACAAAUCAAAACAAAACCAAGACAAAAUAACGAUGGAGCUUCACAACGCCCUUAAGAACGUCACCAUGAUCCUGCUCACCACGGAGGCGCCCAACACCACGCACAGUGACACGGGCGGAGACGUGGGCCCCUCAGGCGGCGAGACGGACGGCUGGAUGCUAUGGGCCAUCGUCACCGGGUCUCUCUUCUGCUUCACCGCCCUCGUUGUCACCGGUUUCAUCUUCCUCGUGGUGCUGCCACGACGCGGGUACGAGCGGAUCGAGGGGCGCAGGAAGCAGAUGAGGGCCUUCACACAGCUGCUGGAGGAGAUGCGGGGCCGCCCUAGAAGCGUGGAGCCCGAGGAGUCCCUGACGGAGAGCGAAAGACAUUUCCUCAUCCAUGACUUUGCAGACUUCCCGUAGCUCUCCCCUCUACCUCUGACCCUCUCUGACCCUCCCCUCUCCCUCCACCCUGCCCAGCCUCUCCCCGUCUCCCUCCCCGCCUGUGUCAACGUGCCCAUUCUCUUCCCUUCCUCUCUCCUCUCUCCAUCGACUUAAUUCACAGCUUUCCAUGUCCUUCUUUCCCCCCUCCUCCAUCCUUCCCUAGCCAUGCAAAGGGUUACGUAUGUUUUGACCCAGUUGUUCCCAGUGUCUCCUCCUCCUCCUCAUUGACGUCUUACGCAGUUUUGUCUUCCAUUUGUAAUCUCUUACUUUCUCCUGUUCCUUAUCGUUAUCUAUUCAUCUUCCUGUAUCUGCUUCUUCAUUCUCAUCAUUCCUUGUAGUCUUCCUAUCUUCCUCCCCCGGCCCUCCAUCUCACCCCACCACCCUCCUUCCUUUCUUAUCUCCCCUCUCCAUCCUCGUUCGUCUACUUUUCCACGAACUUUUCCAUUUAUCUUCUAAUUUUUCCAUCAAUAUUUUCUCUAUGCACCCAUUCAUCAUUUUUCUCUCGCUAUUCCUCCAUCAUCAUCAUUCAUUUACAUACUCACCAACGUAACACUCCACACGUCUAUUUCGUCAUUCAUUCAUACUUCCCCAUCCCUCCUCCUCCUUCGUUAGCGUCCCAGUCUCUCCCCCUCCCUUCGUCAGCAAUAGCAAGACGUCAAACUACACGUGCCAGACUUCAAAAGACGACUGGGGUGCCUCGUCUGUUUGUCUGAUGCCCGUUACCUUCCCUCCCCUCCCCUCCUUUAGUCCGUCUCCCUGGCGCCUUGUUAAACUAAACAGCGAAGGUCGUGUCUCCUUUCCCCGAGUUUUUUGGUCGUGCAGGGUUCAAGCUGUGAUGUAAGAGACUGGUAGUGAGAUUUGUUGGUGUCUAGAAAUGUGUUUUAAUGUUAGUGAUGUAAGUGCGCAGUGGAGUGAUUUCCUCUAUACGGGUUUUAUAUGUAUUUGUAUUGAGAGAAUGGUUUUGUCAUUAUUAUUAGUGUGUAUUGUUUCCAGUUAAUAAAAGAUGUUUUUUUUUA